Molecule: ribosomal RNA, 583 nt
Filed under: Blastocystis sp.
Lineage: Eukaryota; Bigyra; Opalinata; Blastocystidae
Description: SSU rRNA
Rfam family: Eukaryotic small subunit ribosomal RNA
Source: RNAcentral
GUCUCAAAGAUUAAGCCAUGCAUGUGUAAGUAUAAAUAAUUUUACUUUGAAACUGCGAAUGGCUCAUUAUAUCAGUUAUAGUUUAUUAGAAAUAUUUUACUACUUGGAUAACCGUAGUAAUUCUAGGGCUAAUACAUGAGUAAAACCUCAACUUCGGAAGAGGUGUGUUUAUUAGUAUGAAAACCAUAUAUCUUCGGAUAUAAUAGUGAGUAAUAAUAACCUUUCAUAUCGUAUGUCGUAAGAUAACGAUAGUUCUUUCAAGUUUCUGCCCUAUCAGCUUUCGAUGGUAGUAUAUGGGACUACCAUGGCAGUAACGGGUAACGAAGAAUUUGGGUUCGAUUUCGGAGAGGGAGCCUGAGAGAUGGCUACCACAUCCAAGGAAGGCAGCAGGCGCGUAAAUUACCCAAUCCUGACAUAGGGAGGUAGUGACAAUAAAUCACAAUGCGGAACUUUUAGUUUUGCAAUUGGAUUGAGAACAAUGUACAAAUGUUAUCGAUAAACAAUUGGAGGGCAAGUCUGGUGCCAGCAGCCGCGGUAAUUCCAGCUCCAAUAGCGUAUAUUAACGUUGUUGCAGUUAAAAAAG